AUUGAAACAAAAUUUACACCACCAUCUGAUCAUUCAAGACAAGGAUAUUUAAAAGUGAAGGAGGUAAAGGAUCCUAAGUGGAAGUGGGGCUUCCACACGACACAGUGGUAAAAUGUUGAUACCAGUAGACUCUUAAAAGUCAUAUAUGGAUAUUUGAACACCCAGAGCAACAACUAGGAUAACUGUAAGAGAUACACUCAAAAACAAUAUAAAUAAAUCAAGAUGGAAUCCUAAAAAUUGUUCAAGUAACCCACAGGAAAGCAGGAAGAGAGAAAGAGGAAUGAGAACAGAGGAAACAAGCAGAAGACAAACUAUAAAACGGCAGACUUACCACUAAAAACGACAAUUACCUUGAAUGCAAUUGGUCUAAAUACACCAAUCAAAAGACUGACAAUUGCAGAGUAGAUUAAAAACACAUAGCCCAACUGUGUGCUGCUUACAAGAAACUGACUUCAAACUCUACAUAAGUAGGUUGAAAGUAAAAGGAUGGAAAAGAUAUACCGGCAAACAUUAAUUUAAAAAAAAGAAAGAAAGCAAAAGUGGCUGUAGUUAUAUCCAAUAAAGUAAACUUCAGAGCAAAGAAAAUUUCUAGAGACAAAGAGGGACAUCACAUAAUGAUGAAAGGAUUGAUGCACUAAUAAGACAAGUGUACACACCAAACAACAAAGCCUCAAAAUACAUAAAGCAAAAAACUGAUACAGCUGAAAAGGAAAUUAAAUCCACAACUAUAGGGGCCGGCUCCGUGGCUGAGUGGUUAAGUUCGCACACUCUGCUGCAGCAGCCCAGGGUUCGGAUCCUGGGCGCGGACAUGGCACCGCUCGUCAGGCCACAUUGAGGUGGCGUCCCACAUCCCACAACUAGAAGGACCUGCAACUAAGAUAUAAUCAACCAGCAGGACCUACUUGACGUAUAUAGACCACUCCACCCAAUGAUAAUAGAAUAUGCGUUCUUUUUCAAGUACCAUGGAACACUGAAAAAGAUAAACCAUAUCCUGAACCAUAAAACUAACUUCAAAAAAUUUAAAAGAAUUGAAAUCACACAGAGUUUGUUUUCUAACCAUAAUGGAAGCAAACUAGAAGUCAAAAUAAUAAAAACAAUAGGAAAAUCUCUAUAAAUACAUGGAAAUGAAAUAACCCACUUGUAAAUAAUUCAUAGGUCAAAGAAGAAGUCUCAGAGAAAAUUUUAGAAAAUAUGUAGAACUGAAUGAAAACAAAAACACAACAUUAUCAAAAUAUGUGAGAUGCAGCUAAAGCAGUGCCAAGAAAUUUAUAGUUCUAAAUGCUUACAUUAGAAAUGAAAAGAGAUCUCAACACAGUAACCUAAGUUCCUACCUCAAGAAACUAGAAAAAGAAGGGCAAAAUAAACACAAAGUGACCAAAAGGAGGGAAAUAAUAAAGAGCAGAAAUCACUGGAAUUGAAAAUAGGAAAACAGAGAAAAUCAAUUUUAAAAAAUGUUGGUUCUUUGACAACAUCAAUAAAAUUGAUAAACCUGUAGAAAUACUGACAAAAAUAGAGAGACAACACAAAUCAAUAUCAGGAAUGAAAUAAAGAAUAUCAAUAUAAAUCAAGCAGCCAUUGCAAAGAUAAUACGGAAACAAUUUUACAGUCAUAAAUUUGACAACUUAGAAGAAAUGAUCCAAUUCUUGACAGCCACAAACUACUAAAACUCAACCAAAACUAAAAUUCAACUGAGAUGAAAUAGACAAUCUGGAUAUCCUAUAACCAUUAAAGAACUGAAAUUCAU
Equus caballus (horse) is the source of this 1744-nucleotide long non-coding RNA. The record is from Ensembl. NCBI's taxonomy places the organism in Eukaryota, Metazoa, Chordata, Mammalia, Perissodactyla, Equidae.